GUGAGUCAUCGAAUCUUUGAACGCACAUUGCGCCCGCCAGCAUUCUGGCGGGCAUGCCUGUCCGAGCGUCAUUUCCACCCUCGAGCCCCUAGGGUUCGGUGUUGGGGCCCCUACGGCUGCCGUAGGCCCUGAAAUACAGUGGCGGGCCUUCCGGCACUCCGGGCGCAGUAGUUACAUCUCGCCUUCUGGAGGAGCCGGGUUAGGCACCUGCCUGGACGCGCCGCAGCGGCGGCGAACCAAAGGGUUGACCUCGGAUCAGGUAGGAAUACCCGCUGAACUUAAGCAUAUCAAUAAGCGGAGGA
This 302-nucleotide unclassified non-coding RNA is filed under the name Sordariomycetes sp. RNAcentral describes it as "partial contains 5.8S ribosomal RNA, internal transcribed spacer 2, and large subunit ribosomal RNA". The stretch from base 1 to 71 matches the Rfam family "5.8S ribosomal RNA", at positions 84 to 154 of the family's 154-position model. Lineage: Eukaryota; Fungi; Ascomycota; Sordariomycetes. The record is from RNAcentral.